UACGUAGGCAGCAAGCGUUGUUCGGAAUUACUGGGCGUAAAGCGUGCGCAGGCGGUUGUGCAAGACCGAUGUGAAAUCCCCGGGCUUAACCUGGGAAUGGCAUUGGUGACUGCACGGCUAGAGUGUGUCAGAGGGGGGUAGAAUUCCACGUGUAGCAGUGAAAUGCGUAGAGAUGUGGAGGAAUACCGAUGGCGAAGGCAGCCCCCUGGGCCUGCACUGACGCUCAUGCACGAAAGCGUGGGGAGCAAACAGG
Molecule: ribosomal RNA, 253 nt
Filed under: uncultured bacterium
Lineage: Bacteria
Description: partial 16S ribosomal RNA
Rfam family: Bacterial small subunit ribosomal RNA
Source: RNAcentral